GUCGAAGUGGUGGAACUGGUAGACACGCUGUCUUGAGGGGGCAGUGGGGCAACCCGUGGGGGUUCGAUUCCCCCCUUCGACACCA
This 85-nucleotide transfer RNA is filed under the name Desulfomicrobium sp. RNAcentral's name for it is "tRNA-Leu". It matches the Rfam family "tRNA". Rfam says of the family: Transfer RNA (tRNA) molecules are approximately 80 nucleotides in length. Their secondary structure includes four short double-helical elements and three loops (D, anti-codon, and T loops). RNAcentral also lists the same sequence under 1 other name. The record is from RNAcentral. Lineage: Bacteria; Pseudomonadati; Thermodesulfobacteriota; Desulfovibrionia; Desulfovibrionales; Desulfomicrobiaceae.